This 485-nucleotide ribosomal RNA is filed under the name uncultured bacterium. RNAcentral describes it as "bacterial SSU rRNA". It matches the Rfam family "Bacterial small subunit ribosomal RNA", at positions 30 to 507 of the family's 1533-position model. The record is from RNAcentral.
AUUGAACGCUGGCGGCAUGCUUUACACAUGCAAGUCGAGCGGCAGCGCGGGGCAACCCUGGCGGCGAGCGGCGGACGGGUGAAGUAAUGCAAUCUACCUUUUACAGGGGAAUAGCCCAGAGAAAUUUGGAUUAAUGCCCCAUAGUAUGUAUGAAUCGCAUGGUUUAUACAUUAAAGUUCCAACGGUAAAAGAUGAGCAUGCGUCCCAUUAGUUAGUUGGUAAGGUAACGGCUUACCAAGACGAUGAUGGGUAGGGGUCCUGAGAGGGAGAUCCCCCACACUGGUACUGAGACACGGACCAGACUCCUACGGGAGGCAGCAGGUGGGGAAUUUUGGACAAUGGACGCAAGUCUGAUCCAGCCAUGCCGCGUGCGGGAAGAAGGCCUUCGGGUUGUAAACUGUCUUUUGUACGGAGACGAAAACGGCCCUCUCUAAUACAGGGGGUUCAUGACGGUACCGUAAGAAUAAGCACCGGCUAACUACGUG